ACUCCAUGAUGAGGGCACUUUCGUAAUAAUUCUUUGUACCUUUCCCAUGCCUCAAAUAAAGACUCGUCAUCUAUUUGUUGGAAAGUAGUGAUCUCGUUCCUCAACUU
This is a non-coding RNA of Gossypium arboreum, 107 nucleotides long. NCBI's taxonomy places the organism in Eukaryota, Viridiplantae, Streptophyta, Magnoliopsida, Malvales, Malvaceae. The record is from Rfam.